RNAcentral lists this ribosomal RNA (473 nucleotides) under uncultured bacterium. RNAcentral's name for it is "bacterial SSU rRNA". It matches the Rfam family "Bacterial small subunit ribosomal RNA", at positions 335 to 799 of the family's 1533-position model. The record is from RNAcentral.
ACUCCUACGGGAGGCAGCAGUAGGGAAUCUUCCACAAUGGGCGCAAGCCUGAUGGAGCAACACCGCGUGAGUGAAGAAGGGUUUCGGCUCGUAAAGCUCUGUUGUUAAAGAAGAACACGUAUGAGAGUAACUGUUCAUACGUUGACGGUAUUUAACCAGAAAGUCACGGCUAACUACGUGCCAGCAGCCGCGGUAAUACGUAGGUGGCAAGCGUUAUCCGGAUUUAUUGGGCGUAAAGAGAGUGCAGGCGGUUUUCUAAGUCUGAUGUGAAAGCCUUCGGCUUAACCGGAGAAGUGCAUCGGAAACUGGAUAACUUGAGUGCAGAAGAGGGUAGUGGAGCUCCAUGUGUAGCGGUGGAAUGCGUAGAUAUAUGGAAGAACACCAGUGGCGAAGGCGGCUACCUGGUCUGCAACUGACGCUGAGACUCGAAAGCAUGGGUAGCGAACAGGAUUAGAUACCCUGGUAGGAUAGAG